RNAcentral lists this ribosomal RNA (466 nucleotides) under uncultured bacterium. RNAcentral describes it as "partial 16S ribosomal RNA". It matches the Rfam family "Bacterial small subunit ribosomal RNA", at positions 339 to 795 of the family's 1533-position model. The record is from RNAcentral.
CUACGGGUCGCACCAGUCGAGAAGCUUCGGCAAUGGGCGAAAGCCUGACCGAGCGAUGCCGCGUGAGCGAAGAAGGCCCUAUGGGUUGUAAAGCUCUGUCAGAUUGGGAAGAAAGCUUCGGGGUUAAUACCCCCGAAGUGUGACGGUACCAUCAGAGGAAGCACCGGCUAACUCCGUGCCAGCAGCCGCGGUAAUACGGAGGGUGCAAGCGUUGUUCGGAUUCACUGGGUAUAAAGGGUGCGCAGGCGGCCUGGUAAGUCAGGGGUGAAAUAUGACGGCUCAACCGUCAAACUGCCUCUGAAACUGCCAGGCUUGAGUCCGGGAGAGGAAGGUGGAAUUCCUGGUGUAGCGGUGAAAUGCGUAAAUAUCAGGAGGAACACCGGUGGCGAAGGCGGCCUUCUGGCCCGGAACUGACGCUCAUGCACGAAAGCCAGGGGAGCGAACGGGAUUAGAUACCCGGGUAGUC